This 312-nucleotide ribosomal RNA is filed under the name Salmonella enterica subsp. enterica serovar Bovismorbificans. RNAcentral's name for it is "partial 23S ribosomal RNA". It matches the Rfam family "Bacterial large subunit ribosomal RNA", at positions 1273 to 1586 of the family's 2925-position model. The record is from RNAcentral. Lineage: Bacteria; Pseudomonadati; Pseudomonadota; Gammaproteobacteria; Enterobacterales; Enterobacteriaceae. RNAcentral also lists the same sequence under 1 other name.
CUGGAGGUAUCAGAAGUGCGAAUGCUGACAUAAGUAACGAUAAAGCGGGUGAAAAGCCCGCUCGCCGGAAGACCAAGGGUUCCUGUCCAACGUUAAUCGGGGCAGGGUGAGUCGACCCCUAAGGCGAGGCCGAAAGGCGUAGUCGAUGGGAAACGGGUUAAUAUUCCCGUACUUGGUGUUACUGCGAAGGGGGGACGGAGAAGGCUAUGUUGGCCGGGCGACGGUUGUCCCGGUUUAAGCGUGUAGGUGUGUGUUCCAGGUAAAUCCGGUUCACUUUAACACUGAGGCGUGAUGACGAGGCACUACGGUGCU